This 750-nucleotide ribosomal RNA is filed under the name uncultured Peptostreptococcus sp. RNAcentral's name for it is "bacterial SSU rRNA". It matches the Rfam family "Bacterial small subunit ribosomal RNA", at positions 82 to 852 of the family's 1533-position model. Lineage: Bacteria; Bacillati; Bacillota; Clostridia; Peptostreptococcales; Peptostreptococcaceae. The record is from RNAcentral.
UGAGCAAAACCAAGCGGCGGACGGGUGAGUAACGCGUGGGUAACCUGCCCUAUACACAUGGAUAACAUACUGAAAAGUUUACUAAUACAUGAUAAUAUAUAUUUGUGGCAUCGCAGAUAUAUCAAAGUGUUAGCGGUAUAGGAUGGACCCGCGUCUGAUUAGCUAGUUGGUGAGAUAACUGCCCACCAAGGCGACGAUCAGUAGCCGACCUGAGAGGGUGAUCGGCCACAUUGGAACUGAGACACGGUCCAAACUCCUACGGGAGGCAGCAGUGGGGAAUAUUGCACAAUGGGCGAAAGCCUGAUGCAGCAACGCCGCGUGAACGAUGAAGGUCUUCGGAUCGUAAAGUUCUGUUGCAGGGGAAGACAAUGACGGUACCCUGUGAGGAAGCCCCGGCUAACUACGUGCCAGCAGCCGCGGUAAUACGUAGGGGGCUAGCGUUAUCCGGAUUUACUGGGCGUAAAGGGUGCGUAGGUGGUCCUUCAAGUCGGUGGUUAAAGGCUACGGCUCAACCGUAGUAAGCCGCCGAAACUGGAGGACUUGAGUGCAGGAGAGGAAAGUGGAAUUCCCAGUGUAGCGGUGAAAUGCGUAGAUAUUGGGAGGAACACCAGUAGCGAAGGCGGCUUUCUGGACUGCAACUGACACUGAGGCACGAAAGCGUGGGUAGCAAACAGGAUUAGAUACCCUGGUAGUCCACGCUGUAAACGAUGAGUACUAGGUGUCGGGGGUUACCCCCCUCGGUGCCGCAGC